RNAcentral lists this long non-coding RNA (1411 nucleotides) under Macaca fascicularis (crab-eating macaque). RNAcentral's name for it is "lncRNA (ENSMFAG00000055538.1)". Lineage: Eukaryota; Metazoa; Chordata; Mammalia; Primates; Cercopithecidae. The record is from RNAcentral.
GUUUUUUUUUUUUUUUUCUAGUUUUUUGAUUUUUUUUUCAGGAUCUGAAGGAUUGAAAGAUAACUGAGCAGGAAUGGCCUUUCUUUCUUUCUUUGUUAUUGAACAAAGACGGUCAUUGUAGUACCCGUCAUGUUCAAGUCCAUCCCCUGGGACACACGGGUGAGGAUUUUAGUGUUCAGUGCCAGGAGCAGAUCUGCCUGGUGCAUGGAUGGUGCUUCUGGCCAUAGGGUAGAGGAUGGAGAGACCGCAUGGAGUCAGGGAGACCUGGAAUGGGCCUGUCACUGUCGUCCAGGUGAAUGAGUGGCACAGUCAAAGGCAGGAUUCUAACCCUCGUCUCCUGCUUCUGUCCACUGCAGCAUGCCUACUGUCUGUCCACCAAAGACCCUGCUGUGGUGGGGACAGCCCCAGCCCUGCGCCUCCUCCUCACGCCCUCUGGCCUUGGUCAGAAUCUCUCUCAGCUCUGGCUCCUGGCUCAGACGGCCUCUGACUUGCAGACUCCUGCCUCCAGGCCUCGCACGCAGCUACUUGCCCAGAAAAACUGAUGCUCACCCCCUGGGGCCCUGGACGCAGAGGGAUUCUUCUUGGUUCUACAAGGCAGGGGGUACACAGGCCCUCAGGAUCACAGGGUGGCAUUCUGAGGAAUAUUUGAAAGUACACAUGUUUUUGUAAGCUUCUGUUUAGAACGGCCAAUAAGACAAUCUCGGUGAUGUGCAGAGUGCAAAGGUAUGUGAUUCACACACACGCGCACACACACCCACACAAACUCUUAAUCACAGAAACCGUUUGUGUUAUGCAUGCUUGAUUGGCCAAGUAUGCCCACAGCUGGCUGUUUUCUGAAGCCCAUGGAGCUAAAGUGAGUGGAAAGCCAUCCCCGGCCAUGUUUCGUGGGCACAACAUGUUUCCACAAGACAAGGCUUAUAGCCCAGCAGUCCCAGAUUUCGCCUGUGGCUAGAUCUGGGCACAGAAUGGAGAUGAUGUCAUUAGAGCUUCACGUUCUUUCAUCUAAUUAGCCGAGAGUUAAUUAGUAUUUCCAAAGGGCUUUGAAGAUGAGGAGCACUGUUUAUUCACAGUUGGGGUGGUGGCAAGCCUGGAGAGGUAAUGCAAGAAGCUGACAUUAGAAUGAGAAGACGGGGCUGAUGCUGCCACCUCUGCCUGGCUGCGAGGCUGUUGUGAGACAUUUGUGAAAGUGUCUGUAUGAGUUUGCUAGGGUAGCUGGAACAAAGUACCACAAAUUGGGGGGCUGGAAACAACAGAAAUGAAUUAUCUCCCAGUUCUGGGGCCGGUAGUCUAAGAAUAAGGUAUCAUUAGGGCCAUGCUCCUUCAGGAGCCUCUAGAGGAGGAUCCUUGUCUCCUCCAGCUUCUGGUAGCCCCAGGUGUUCUUGGCUUGUGGCUGCAUCACUCCAGUCUCUGC